GGUAUGGGCUUAUUUAUAUAAAAAGAAAAAAAAACAAAUUCAUAAAUUGUAACCCAAAAGAUAUAAUGAUAACUGUGGCAACAUUCUUGUUUUUUAAAGCUAAGCAAGCUCAGGAACUGUUUUAAGGAUGUACUGGGGUCUUUUGAGUGUACCCUAAACCACCGUGACUAUAGGAUGUCCAAGAAUUGUGAUUCUCAACCAAAGGGAAGGCUGAGUCCUCUUUCCCUGAUUUCCUGUAAUGGAAAAAGACUGCUCUGUGCAAGUGGAGCUUAAAGGAUCUUGCUGAGACCUUUCCUGUUUGUUUACAGAAGGGGUACAAGGAGCAUCCUGGCAACACAACGGAGAGAAACCUCUCAGGGCAGAGCUACACCGAUAUGGGAGGAUGUGGCAGCAACAGGAUCACCCUGAGGGAAACACAUCUUUCCAGACAUGGAAAGCAAAGGGGACACGUUGGCGCAUCUGUCAAGAUUCCCGCUCUGGAAAAGAAGAUCAGAGCAAAUGGGGACUGAGGAGAACAAAAGCUGACCCAAACCUUUGACCUAAACUUAACAUAAAGCCAAAUGAAACCUUAGAGGAAACAAUAAUUGAUUAUUGUCUCACUCCUUGCGUUGGAUGAAUCCUGUGUUCUCUGAGUGAAGGCUAAUGAGCCAGCCUCCAUCCUUGACAAGAUCUGGAGCAAGGCAGUGGCUUCCACAGCUCCCCACAAAUUUCUGCAGUGCAAAAGGGCUGACCCACAACUCAAGCACCGUGGGGCCAAGCUUCCCAAGACCAUCUUCUUCGCAGCCGCUCUGUGUGGUGACAUCUUGGCAUCGUACAUGGAGAAGCGGUUUACAAGAGCCCCUAGGACUGACCAGAGAUCUCCACCAUGCCCCAGUCAUCCUCCUGUCACACUGCUGAUUCAACCAAUGCCCUCCCAAUCCUGCCCAUAGAGCAACUACAGGGGACAUGUGAUGCCACGGCAAGUACCCAGCCAGCAGCAGCGUGAACCGAUGCGCUCGCUAUUUAAUAUGCAGAGGAAAUGAGUCGCAACUAAGUUCAUUGCACACAUCCAUUACGUGAGAGAAGCAUCAAUAUUUCUGUAAAUCCACCAGGGAAUUUAUUCAUCUCAGCCUCCAGCAAUGGUGGAUUCCCCUGGUGACUAGUGCAAUUCGGAAGCGCGUACAGCCAUAAUGAGAAAGUACCGUGGUUUCCCUUAAAGUAAUAUAGUGGUUAUUGCUGAUAGUUACUGCCUUUGUGAAGUAUUAAUGCGUGGUUAUAGUGCAGUCAUGUAGCAAAAUUAUAGGGGCCUGUGGAAUGUUACUUAGCAACACUUGCUAAUGUUGAGGUGGUAAUGAAGAAAUGGAGUAAAAGAAAUACAGAGUAUAUUGGAGUCAUAAAAUAAACCAUGGUGUGGCUUCAGAAAGCAGUUCUGAAGGUAAAGGUUUUGUCUAUUUCUCUUUUUGCCAUGUGAAUCUGGCAGAAGAACUUAAGAGCUGAUCUGAAGCAACACAUUUGAAACAUCUAAGUAACAGAAACAAGCAUUAUGUUUUUGUUUGUUUGUUUGUUUGUUUGUUUAUAAUUGUUGCUGCCUGGGAAAAGCAUCGGAAUUGCUGGGUGUUUGAAGAUCCUUUCCCUGUCAUUUCAAACCCACCCCGAAGCACUAGCUGGCCAAUUAAAAUAAUCUCUCCUUUGGAAAGCCAGCAUUUGUCAGAGUUAAGAAUGAAGGCUUCUUUCUACUACAUCUAUUUUCCCCAUUCAUUCAUUUACAUAACUCCCUCCACCGUUAAUCAAGUGCUUGGAGGCAUAUCUCAAGAAAGGGUAAGGCCAUAAAAAUAAAGGCAGGCAUUUCUAGUUAUAGAUGAACCUUCCACAUGUUGCAGAUCUGUCUCAGCCAGUUAUCUUGGUUUAUCUCCACCUGUUUAAAUUGGAAAACACACAAAAAUCCAUCUCCCAUGAGAUUUCCAAGGUUUCUUGAUUUCAUUUGGGUCAGAACUGCCACAAGAGAUGCAUUUCUCAGAGCACUUCUGAGCUGCUGCCAGGAACAGGGAGUGCUGGACUGUGCCACUUAAAAAAAAAAAAAAAAAAGUUUUCUUUGAAAAGUCACCAAAUUUUAUAAGCUUUAAAAAAAAAGAAAAUUGGCCUAGUUCAGUCUCGGCUAUGAUUAAAAGAGCUGCCCUGAUUUAUUGGUGUCAAACAAAGUAUGUUUGGGUAGAACAUUAUUUUGUAAUGGAAAAAGUAUCAGUGGAAGCACUGCUUGGACUGGAUAAGGACUGGGCCUUAAAUUAUAAGAUUCUUUAAUACUGGAGAAAAGGAGGACUGCUGAAAAUGUUGUAACUAGAAGGCCAUCUCUUAGUCUACCAGAUAAAGGUAGCUGUGAAUUCAACCUUAACAACAUUUGGGGUUCUGCUGAUUAAAUGGUGAUAUUUGCCGCCUUUGUGCCUCACCCUGGCCCUGCAAAGCAAACGGGAAGGAGUUUCUCAUUCCUGUCCCACCAGGAGUGUUGAGCCAUGAAUAUGGAGUGAUGGUUUGGGGGAUGUUUCACAGGAAAAGCUUUCUGUA
This is a long non-coding RNA of Calidris pugnax (ruff), 2538 nucleotides long. RefSeq lists it as uncharacterized. The transcript is spliced from 4 exons. The record is from RefSeq and is a predicted model, not a curated record. NCBI's taxonomy places the organism in Eukaryota, Metazoa, Chordata, Aves, Charadriiformes, Scolopacidae.